This 21-nucleotide non-coding RNA is filed under the name Caenorhabditis elegans. The record is from RNAcentral. Lineage: Eukaryota; Metazoa; Nematoda; Chromadorea; Rhabditida; Rhabditidae.
UGUGUUUAUUUUCGAACAGUA